Molecule: ribosomal RNA, 253 nt
Filed under: uncultured bacterium
Lineage: Bacteria
Description: partial 16S ribosomal RNA
Rfam family: Bacterial small subunit ribosomal RNA
Source: RNAcentral
UACGUAGGGGGCAAGCGUUGUCCGGAUUUACUGGGCGUAAAGAGCGUGUAGGCGGCCACGCAGGUCCGUUGUGAAAACUGGAGGCUCAACCUCCAGCUGUCGACGGAAACCGUAUGGCUAGAGUCCGGAAGAGGAGAGUGGAAUUCCUGGUGUAGCGGUGAAAUGCGCAGAUAUCGGGAGGAACACCAGUGGCGAAGGCGAUCUUCUGGACGGAUACUGACGCUGAGGCGCGAAAGCUAGGGGAGCAAACGGG